This 468-nucleotide ribosomal RNA is filed under the name uncultured bacterium. RNAcentral describes it as "partial 16S ribosomal RNA". It matches the Rfam family "Bacterial small subunit ribosomal RNA", at positions 28 to 507 of the family's 1533-position model. The record is from RNAcentral.
GACGAACGCUGGCGGCGUGCUUAACACAUGCAAGUCGAACGGAAAGGCUCUGCUUUUGUUGGGUGCUCGAGUGGCGAACGGGUGAGUAACACGUGAGUAACCUGCCCUUGACUUUGGGAUAACUUCAGGAAACUGGGGCUAAUACCGGAUAGGAGCUCCUGCUGCAUGGUGUUGGUUGGAAAGUUUGGGCGGUUGGGGAUGGACUCGCGGCUUAUCAGCUUGUUGGUGGGGUAGUGGCUUACCAAGGCUUUGACGGGUAGCCGGCAUGAGAGGGUGACCGGGCACAUUGGGACUGAGAUACGGCCCAGACUCCUACGGGAGGCAGCAGUGGGGAAUAUUGCACAAUGGGCGGAAGCCUGAUGCAGCAACGCCGCGUGCGGGAUGACGGCCUUCGGGUUGUAAACCGCUUUCGCCUGUGACGAAGCGUGAGUGACGGUAAUGGGUAAAGAAGCACCGGCUAACUACGUG